Long non-coding RNA from Homo sapiens (human), 800 nucleotides. RefSeq lists it as uncharacterized. The transcript has 2 exons. NCBI's taxonomy places the organism in Eukaryota, Metazoa, Chordata, Mammalia, Primates, Hominidae. The record is from RefSeq and is a predicted model, not a curated record.
AGUGUCCUCAGUUGGCACCCAGAGGAGCUGUUGCAUUCUCCCCUUUAUUGUGGAGAUGGCUGCAGCAGGUGCUCUUGUCCUGGGGGAAGACAGCCAUUGAGAUUGGCAGAGGCUUAAGUAUGAAGUCAAAGGCAACACCUGAUAUCAGAAAGGGCCCAGGCAGCAGUGGGGAAGUCCUCAGCUGGAUCUUUGAGCCUUGGACGGAAUCAGCAGCAGGGGCUACUCUGAGCUUCCUCACAGCCUGGAGGUCUCCGGGGAGUAGACCUGCUUGUAUGGCAACUGAAGACCAAGAGAAAGAGUCCCAUGUGCUACAGACAGAAUGCUCGUGUGCCUCCGAAUUCAUAUGUUGAAACCCUAAUCCCCAAUGUGAUGGUAUUUGAAGAUGGGGAAGUUUGGGAGGUGAUUAGAGGUCAUGAGGGUCGAGCCCACCUGGUGGGAUUUGUGCACUUAUAAGAAGAGACCAGAGAGCCCCAUCUCUGUCUACCCCCUCCCUCCCUCUCUCUCCACCUGUCAUAUCAGGACAUAGCAAGAAGAUGGCCAUCUGCAAACCAGGAAGAGUGUUCUCACCAGACACCUGAUCUGCUAGCACCUUGAUCUUGGACUCCUCAGCCUCCAGAACUGUGAAACAUAAAUGUUCAUUGUUCAAGCCACCCCAUCUAUGGCAAUGUGUAACAGCAGCCCAAACUAACUAAUACACCAUGUUUCUGUACAUCAGCAAUGAAAAAUCCAAAAGGAAAUGAAGAAAAUAAUUCCAUUUACAGUAGUACAUAAAAGAAUAAAAUAUCUAUCAAUAAAUUUAA